GGGUAUCUAGUGGCGGCCUUCUUCGUUGCACGCUUUUCCGAGAUCACUGUCAUCUGAAUUCCACAUCCAAGAUGGUCCAACUGGCUACACUCCUGACUUGCGGGCUUCUGGUCGGCAUUGCGCAUUCCGAACAAGGUUGUGAGAGCAAUAAUAAUCAGGCCUGGAAGGCUGUCUCGCAUCCAGAUGGUGGAACCUUUUCGCUUCUGAAGUCAACCACUACAAACGCAAGGAAAUGUUUGACUGUCGAGGCACCCAUAGAAGGAAGUGGACCCUGGAUGGAAAAGGACCUCACAUUUAGGUUCAAGAGCGGUACUCAAAAGGA
This is a long non-coding RNA of Ornithodoros turicata, 322 nucleotides long. RefSeq lists it as uncharacterized. The transcript is spliced from 3 exons. The record is from RefSeq and is a predicted model, not a curated record. Lineage: Eukaryota; Metazoa; Arthropoda; Arachnida; Ixodida; Argasidae.